RNAcentral lists this unclassified non-coding RNA (406 nucleotides) under soil metagenome. Its description in RNAcentral is "partial contains 5.8S ribosomal RNA, internal transcribed spacer 2, and large subunit ribosomal RNA". The stretch from base 1 to 121 matches the Rfam family "5.8S ribosomal RNA", at positions 35 to 154 of the family's 154-position model. The record is from RNAcentral.
GAUGAAGAACGUAGCGAAAUGCGAUAAGUAAUGUGAAUUGCAGAAUUCAGUGAAUCAUCGAAUCUUUGAACGCACCUUGCGCCCUUUGGCUAUUCCGAAGGGCAUGCCUGUUUGAGUAUCAUGAACACCUCAACUCUUCAUGGUUUUCCGUGAUGAGCUUGGACUUUGGGGGUCUUGCUGGCCUAUGGUCAGCUCCUCUAAAAUAAAUCAGCUUGCCAGUGUUUGGUGGGUAUCACAGGUGUGAUAACUAUCUACGCUUGUGGUUUUCCACCAGGUAACCUUCAGCAGUGGAGGUUCGCUGGAGCUCACAGAUGUGUCUCUCCUCAGUGAGGACAGCUCUUUGAAUGUUUGAUCUCAAAUCAGGUAGGACUACCCGCUGAACUUAAGCAUAUCAAUAAGCGGAGGA